CAAUAGCGUAUAUUUAAGUUGCUGCAGUUAAAAAGCUCGUAGUUGGAUUUCGGGUGGGAAUGGCCGGUCUGCCGUUUCGGUGUGCACUUGCUACGCCCACCUUGCUGCCGGGGACGUGCUCUUGAGUUCACGCUCGGGACCCGGAGUCGGCGAGGUUACUUUGAGUAGAUUAGAGUGUUCAAAGCAGGCCUACGCUCUGAAUACAUUAGCAUGGAAUAACACGAUAGGACUCUGGCCUAUCUUGUUGGUCUGUAGGACCGGAGUAAUGAUUAAGAGGGACAGUCGGGGGCAUUCGUAUUUCAUUGUCAGAGGUGAAAUUCUUGGAUUUAUGAAAGACGAACUACUGCGAAAGCAUUUGCCAAGGAUGUUUUCAUUAA
Molecule: ribosomal RNA, 377 nt
Filed under: uncultured eukaryote
Lineage: Eukaryota
Description: partial 18S ribosomal RNA
Rfam family: Eukaryotic small subunit ribosomal RNA
Source: RNAcentral